Octodon degus (degu) is the source of this 161-nucleotide small nuclear RNA. Its record names the gene U1. It matches the Rfam family "U1 spliceosomal RNA". From Rfam's summary of the family: U1 is a small nuclear RNA (snRNA) component of the spliceosome (involved in pre-mRNA splicing). Its 5' end forms complementary base pairs with the 5' splice junction, thus defining the 5' donor site of an intron. There are significant differences in sequence and secondary structure between metazoan and yeast U1 snRNAs, the latter being much longer (568 nucleotides as compared to 164 nucleotides in human). NCBI's taxonomy places the organism in Eukaryota, Metazoa, Chordata, Mammalia, Rodentia, Octodontidae. The record is from Ensembl.
AUUGUUACCUAACAGGGGAGAUACCAUGACACGAAGGUGGUUUUCCCAGGGCAAGGCUUACCCAUUACACUCUGGAUGUGCUGACCUCGGCGAUUCCCCCAAAUGUGGGAAAAUUUGCAUAAUUUGUGGUAGUGGGGAGGUCUAUGUUCACAUUUUCCCUU